RNAcentral lists this ribosomal RNA (460 nucleotides) under uncultured bacterium. RNAcentral's name for it is "partial 16S ribosomal RNA". It matches the Rfam family "Bacterial small subunit ribosomal RNA", at positions 338 to 795 of the family's 1533-position model. The record is from RNAcentral.
UCUACGGGCGUCAGCAGUGAGGAAUAUUGGUCAAUGGGCGCGAGCCUGAACCAGCCAAGUAGCGUGAAGGAUGACUGCCCUACGGGUUGUAAACUUCUUUUAUAAAGGAAUAAAGUGAGGCACGUGUGCCUUUUUGUAUGUACUUUAUGAAUAAGGAUCGGCUAACUCCGUGCCAGCAGCCGCGGUAAUACGGAGGAUCCGAGCGUUAUCCGGAUUUAUUGGGUUUAAAGGGAGCGUAGAUGGGUUGUUAAGUCAGUUGUGAAAGUUUGCGGCUCAACCGUAAAAUUGCAAUUGAUACUGGCAGUCUUGAGGACAGUUGAGGUAGGCGGAAUUCGUGGUGUAGCGGUGAAAUGCUUAGAUAUAACGAAGAACUCCGAUUGCGAAGGCAGCUUACUAAACUGCCACUGACGCUGAGGCUCGAAAGCGUGGGGAGCAAACAGGAUUAGAUACCCUUGUAGUC